UCCGGUUGAUCCUGCCAGAGGUUACUGCUAUCGGUGUUCGCCUAAGCCAUGCGAGUCAUAUGUUCUUCGUGAACAUGGCGUACUGCUCAGUAACACGUGGAUAACCUGCCCUUGGGUCCGGCAUAACCCCGGGAAACUGGGGAUAAUUCCGGAUAACGCACAUAUGCUGGAAUGCUUUAUGCGUAAAAUGGAUUCGUCCGCCCAAGGAUGGGUCUGCGGCCUAUCAGGUAGUAGUGGGUGUAAUGUACCUACUAGCCAACAACGGGUACGGGUUGUGAGAGCAAGAGCCCGGAGAUGGAUUUUGAGACAUGAAUCCAGGCCCUACGGGGCGCAGCAGGCGCGAAAACUUUACAAUGCGGGAAACCGUGAUAAGGGGACACCGAGUGCCAGCAUCAUAUGCUGGCUGUCCGGGUGUGUAAAAUACACCUGUUAGCAAGGGCCGGGCAAGACCGGUGCCAGCCGCCGCGGUAACACCGGCGGCCCGAGUGGUGAUCGUGAUUAUUGGGUCUAAAGGGUCCGUAGCCGGUUUGGUCAGUCCUCCGGGAAAUCUGAUGGCUCAACCAUUAGGCUUUCGGGGGAUACUGCCAGGCUUGGAACCGGGAGAGGUAAGAGGUACUACAGGGGUAGGAGUGAAAUCUUGUAAUCCCUGUGGGACCACCUGUGGCGAAGGCGUCUUACCAGAACGGGUUCGACGGUGAGGGACGAAAGCUGGGGGCACGAACCGGAUUAGAUACCCGGGUAGUCCCAGCCGUAAACGAUGCUCGCUAGGUGUCAGGCAUGGCGCGACCGUGUCUGGUGCCGCAGGGAAGCCGUGAAGCGAGCCACCUGGGAAGUACGGCCGCAAGGCUGAAACUUAAAGGAAUUGGCGGGGGAGCACAACAACGGGUGGAGCCUGCGGUUUAAUUGGACUCAACGCCGGACAACUCACCGGGGACGACAGCAAAAUGUAGGCCAGGCUGAAGACCUUGCCUGAAUCGCUGAGAGGAGGUGCAUGGCCGUCGCCAGUUCGUACUGUGAAGCAUCCUGUUAAGUCAGGCAACGAGCGAGACC
This 1050-nucleotide ribosomal RNA is filed under the name unidentified archaeon. RNAcentral describes it as "bacterial SSU rRNA". It matches the Rfam family "Archaeal small subunit ribosomal RNA", at positions 1 to 1052 of the family's 1478-position model. The record is from RNAcentral.